RNAcentral lists this ribosomal RNA (230 nucleotides) under uncultured bacterium. RNAcentral describes it as "partial 16S ribosomal RNA". It matches the Rfam family "Bacterial small subunit ribosomal RNA", at positions 564 to 791 of the family's 1533-position model. The record is from RNAcentral.
AGCGUGCGCAGGCGGUUAUGUAAGACAGAUGUGAAAUCCCCGGGCUCAACCUGGGAACUGCAUUAGUGACUGCAUAGCUGGAGUACGGCAGGAGGGGGAUGGAAUUCCGCGUGUAGCAGUGAAAUGCGUAGAUAUGCGGAGGAACACCGAUGGCGAAGGCAACUCCCCUGGGCCUGUACUGACGCUCAUGCACGAAAGCGUGGGGAGCAAACAGGAUUAGAUACCCUAGU